This is a long non-coding RNA of Pongo pygmaeus (Bornean orangutan), 812 nucleotides long. RefSeq lists it as uncharacterized. Lineage: Eukaryota; Metazoa; Chordata; Mammalia; Primates; Hominidae. The record is from RefSeq and is a predicted model, not a curated record. The transcript is spliced from 3 exons.
CCCGGGAGAUGCCACCGUCCGCCAAGGGCCGCGGCCCGGGCCCCGCUCGGGUUCCCGCGCCGCCCGCACGGCCCGCGGCUCCGCCCCGAGGGGAUGCGCCCCCGCGCCCGCAUCCUUCCAGCACCCGCCCGCCUGGCCCCUGCCCUCUCCCGGGCCCCUGAGAGCGGCGCCCUCCCGGCUCGCGGCCGCCCGGCCCGCUUGACAUACCAGGAAUAGCUGCACACAAUUGUACCUUUCCCGGCCAAGAAACCUCCCCCGCUGGGGAGCGCGGCCCGCCGCCCUCACCUGAGCCCCAGCCAGCGGAGCCCGCUACCCGCUCUCCCGCCGCGAUCCGGCCCAGCUGCCAGGUGCGCGCCGUCCCCUCCCACGCUCCCCGCCCCCUGCGGCGGCCCGGCCCUCCCGGCGGCAGAGGAGGGUCGUGGCCUUGGCACGUGCGGCCGCUUCCCCCCGGCGGAGUUCGGCCCCGCUCCGCCCGGCUUCCAGCUAAAGAAGUCACUUUCAAGAGAUCUGGAGAAGUAAGAUGGCCAAAUAAAAGCCUCUACCAACCAUCCUCCCCACAGGAACACCAAAUUUAAGAACUAUCUACACAAAAAAGCACCUUCAUAAGAACCAAAAAUCAGUGUGAUCACAAGCCCUCAGAGAAAGGUGACAACAGAGUUGUACAAGAGACAAGCGACAUGACAAACAUCACGAGAUGCUUUUUGGUGCAGAUAACUGAGUAUCAGCUACUGUCAAAUACCCAAGAACGGCCAACGACAUGAAUGAUGGAGCUUAAAAAACAGAGACUAUACAGAAAUAAAAACUGUUUUACU